This 253-nucleotide ribosomal RNA is filed under the name uncultured bacterium. RNAcentral's name for it is "partial 16S ribosomal RNA". It matches the Rfam family "Bacterial small subunit ribosomal RNA", at positions 524 to 776 of the family's 1533-position model. The record is from RNAcentral.
UACGAAGGGUGCAAACGUUGCUCGGAAUCAUUGGGCGUAAAGCGCACGUAGGCGGCUUCUUAAGUCGGAUGUGAAAUCCCAUGGCUCAACCAUGGACGUGCAUUCGAAACUGCGAAGCUUGAGUAUGGAAGAGGGUCGCGGAAUUCCCGGUGUAGAGGUGAAAUUCGUAGAUAUCGGGAGGAACACCAGUGGCGAAGGCGGCGACCUGGGCCAAUACUGACGCUGAGGUGCGAAAGCGUGGGGAGCAAACAGG